GUUCCCGCGAUGUUUGAGAUGCGGAAACGCUUGUGUACGGUGUUCUCGUUUUCGUUCUACAUGUCGCGAGAGCUGCAGGGCCGGAAGCUCCACGUCGGUCAGUUGGGCUCAGAGAGCGACGUCUCAGCUACUGCUGAGUUGGGGGCUGUGGAGCCAUGCCUCUCCGACUUGAUAUUAAGCGAAAACUAACAGCUCGGUCUGACCGAGUAAAGAGUGUGGACUUGCACCCCACCGAGCCAUGGAUGUUAGCUAGCCUGUACAAUGGCAGUGUCUGUGUUUGGAAUCAUGAAACACAGACUCUAGUGAAGACCUUUGAAGUAUGUGAUCUGCCAGUCAGAGCUGCAAAAUUUGUGGCAAGAAAAAACUGGGUUGUGACAGGAGCUGAUGACAUGCAAAUUAGAGUUUUCAAUUACAAUACCUUGGAAAGAGUUCACAUGUUCGAAGCACACUCCGAUUAUAUUCGUUGCAUUGCUGUACAUCCUACUCAGCCUUUCAUUCUAACUAGCAGUGAUGACAUGCUUAUUAAACUCUGGGACUGGGAUAAAAAAUGGUCUUGUUCUCAGGUGUUUGAAGGACACACUCAUUAUGUUAUGCAGAUUGUCAUAAACCCAAAGGAUAAUAACCAGUUUGCCAGUGCCUCUUUGGAUAGGACGAUUAAGGUGUGGCAGCUUGGUUCUUCUUCACCCAACUUCACUUUGGAAGGCCAUGAAAAAGGAGUGAACUGCAUUGAUUAUUAUAGUGGCGGAGACAAGCCUUACCUCAUUUCAGGAGCAGAUGAUCGCCUUGUCAAGAUUUGGGAUUACCAGAAUAAAACCUGUGUGCAAACACUGGAGGGACAUGCUCAAAAUGUAUCCUGUGUCAGCUUCCACCCUGAGCUGCCAAUCAUAAUCACAGGAUCAGAAGAUGGAACUGUCCGCAUUUGGCAUUCGAGCACGUACCGCUUGGAAAGCACUCUCAAUUAUGGCAUGGAGAGGGUGUGGUGCGUGGCCAGUCUGAGAGGAUCCAAUAAUGUGGCUUUGGGUUAUGAUGAGGGCAGCAUUAUUGUUAAGCUUGGCCGUGAAGAACCUGCCAUGUCUAUGGAUUCGAAUGGAAAAAUUAUUUGGGCUAAACAUUCGGAGGUGCAACAGGCUAACUUGAAAGCUAUGGGAGAUGCUGAAAUUAAAGAUGGAGAAAGAUUGCCACUGGCUGUAAAGGAUAUGGGGAGCUGCGAAAUCUAUCCCCAGACCAUUCAGCACAACCCUAAUGGACGGUUUGUAGUAGUAUGUGGGGAUGGUGAAUACAUCAUUUACACAGCUAUGGCUUUGAGGAACAAGAGUUUUGGUUCUGCACAGGAGUUCGUAUGGGCACAUGAUUCUUCAGAGUAUGCAAUCAGGGAGAGCAACAGCGUUGUAAAGAUAUUUAAGAACUUCAAAGAGAAGAAGUCCUUUAAACCUGAUUUUGGUGCAGAGGGUAUCUAUGGAGGUUUCUUACUGGGUGUCAGAUCUGUUAAUGGCUUGGCAUUUUAUGACUGGGAUAACACAGAAUUGAUACGCAGAAUUGAAAUUCAGCCCAAACAUAUUUUCUGGUCUGACUCGGGUGAGCUGGUCUGUAUUGCCACAGAGGAAUCAUUCUUCAUUCUGAAAUAUUUGUCUGAAAAAGUUGCAGCGGCGCAAGAAACUCAUGAGGGAGUCACUGAAGAUGGUAUUGAAGAUGCCUUUGAGGUUCUUGGUGAGAUUCAGGAGAUUGUAAAAACAGGGUUGUGGGUUGGCGACUGUUUUAUUUACACCAGUUCUGUGAACAGACUGAACUACUACGUUGGAGGAGAAAUUGUCACUAUUGCCCAUUUGGAUAGGACAAUGUAUCUAUUAGGGUAUAUCCCCAAGGACAACAGGCUUUAUCUGGGUGAUAAAGAGCUAAACAUCGUCAGUUACUCCUUGUUGGUCUCUGUGCUCGAGUACCAGACAGCAGUAAUGAGGAGAGACUUUGGUAUGGCUGACAAAGUUCUUCCUACAAUUCCAAAGGAACAGAGGACCAGAGUUGCACAUUUUCUUGAAAAACAGGGCUUCAAACAACAAGCUCUUGCAGUAUCCACAGAUCCUGAACAUCGCUUUGAGCUUGCUCUUCAGCUUGGAGAAUUAAAGAUUGCAUACCAGCUUGCGGUGGAAGCAGAGUCAGAACAGAAGUGGAAGCAACUUGCUGAGCUUGCCAUCAGUAAAUGCCAGUUCGGCUUAGCCCAGGAGUGUCUGCACCAUGCACAGGACUAUGGAGGUUUAUUGCUAUUGGCCACUGCUUCAGGAAAUGCUCACAUGGUGAACAAGCUAGCAGAGGGAGCAGAAAAAGAUGGCAAGAACAAUGUAGCUUUUAUGAGCUACUUUUUGCAGGGAAAGGUUGACUGUUGUUUGGAACUCUUGAUUAAAACUGGACGUUUGCCAGAAGCUGCCUUCUUAGCACGUACAUAUUUGCCAAGCCAAGUUUCAAGGGUUGUAAAAAUGUGGCGAGAGAAUCUCUCUAAAGUCAAUCAGAAAGCUGCAGAGUCCCUGGCUGAUCCUACAGAAUAUGAAAACCUGUUCCCUGGAUUAAAAGAAGCUUUUGUUGUUGAAGACUACGUAAAGGAAACUCAUACUGACUUACGGCCAGCUAAGGAAUACCCACUUGUCACUCCAAAUGAAGAAAGAAAUUUACUGGAAGAAGCAAAAGGUUUCAGACCUUCAGAAGUAGUAGUAUCCCAGGAAUCUGAAGAGGAAGAACUAGUUCCAUCUCCUAAACCAGUAGUGGCUCCUCCAGUUCCAGGAAACUCUGAUCCUCUUCCAAUGACAAAAGAUGAGAAGGCACUACUAGACUUGGAUGAUGAUUUGGAUAACUUGGAUCUGGAGGAUAUCGAUACUACAGAUAUCAAUCUGGAUGAAGAGAUCUUGGAUGACUGAACUUGAUUUUUAUUUGUGACCAAAUCCUUUAAUUCAUAAUUGUUACACAGAGGAAUUACAUUUAUAUGGACUACACAGAUUGGAAACUAGCUUGAUUUUUAUACUGAAGCUGGACAACAUAGCUGCUGAACUAGCCGGUGCUUCUUGAUAAGCCUGAAGAGCCAGCUCUAUAUAUCCUACCUUCUUUGAUUCUGUUUUCAUGAACACCUGUUAAAGACAACAGCUAUUAAAAUAGUGACACAUGGUACAGAAGAAUUUAUUGUACAAUUUCUGAUGUAUAGAAUGAGAAUAUUCCUUGUGGCAUCUCAGCAUAACAAUUUUAACAAAGUAAGUGGUAAGUCUGGUGUAGUGAUUUCUUAUACAUACCUGCUAGUUAAAGAGUUCCUUAAAGGCUUUGUGGCUAGCUAUAAAGAAAGUAGGUAUCAAUGUGAACCUCACCUUCCCAUUAUUAUAUCCAAAGCAGAAAAGUGUACUAUACCUUGAUUAAAUCUACUCCAUGA
Molecule: RNA transcript, 3403 nt
Organism: Chrysemys picta bellii (western painted turtle)
Lineage: Eukaryota; Metazoa; Chordata; Testudines; Emydidae
Gene: COPB2
Gene name: COPI coat complex subunit beta 2
Source: RefSeq, a predicted model, not a curated record